AACGUAGGAGACAAACGUUAUCCGGAGUUACUGGGCGUAAAGGGCGUGUAGGUGGUUUUGUAAGUCUGGCGUGAAAUUUUUCGGCUUAACCGGGAAAGGUCGUCGGAUACUGCAGGACUGGAGGACGGUAGAGGCGUGUGGAAUUCCGGGUGUAGUGGUGAAAUGCGUAGAGAUCCGGAGGAACACCAGUGGCGAAGGCGACACGCUGGGCCGUACCUGACACUGAUGCGCGACAGCAUGGGGAGCAAACAGG
This 253-nucleotide ribosomal RNA is filed under the name uncultured bacterium. RNAcentral's name for it is "partial 16S ribosomal RNA". It matches the Rfam family "Bacterial small subunit ribosomal RNA", at positions 524 to 776 of the family's 1533-position model. The record is from RNAcentral.